AAGACAUUAAGUUAAUCAAACUAGUGGUCUUCAAAACCACCAAUAACUUUUGGGUUAUGUCUUG
This 64-nucleotide transfer RNA is filed under the name Lepidonotus sp. YZ-2018. RNAcentral describes it as "tRNA-Trp". Lineage: Eukaryota; Metazoa; Annelida; Polychaeta; Phyllodocida; Polynoidae. The record is from RNAcentral.